RNAcentral lists this long non-coding RNA (1131 nucleotides) under Gossypium raimondii (Peruvian cotton). RNAcentral describes it as "long non-coding RNA (GRAI_LNC010802)". Lineage: Eukaryota; Viridiplantae; Streptophyta; Magnoliopsida; Malvales; Malvaceae. The record is from RNAcentral.
GUUACUUAACAUGUUGAGAGGCUGCCACAUGUCACUAUCAGAUUGGCUAUUAAUACCACGUCAGCACAAACUAAUAGUGUUAGUGCGGAGGUAUCAACUAGGUCUAGAAAAAAGUAGGCAAAAUAUAUAUUAACCCAAUUUUAUUCAUUCUCUAGUAUUUGGCAUUUAAAUAUAUUUUAUUUUAAUUAUAAAUAUUUAGACUUGUUAAAUAUAGAAGGGCAUUUGAUAGGUUAGAAUAUUUGUGUGGUCAUUUAAAUUUUUUAAAUCAUAUAAUUAUUCUAAUAUAGUUGUGUAUGUCCAAAUAUACAACUUAUUGUUGUUCAGACCCAUUUUGACCUAACCCAUUACAACCCAUAACCCAAACAAAAACAAAACCUACCCAGGCCCAACUAAGCCUAACCCACCAAAACCAAAGCCCAAAUCAGCAACCCAAUUCAGCCCAAUCUACCUAACCCUAGCCAAUUUGCAGAAAAAAAAAACAGCAGCCACCCUAGGUGCGCCGCACCUAGGGCCUUCGUCCACCUACCCCCUGCCACCGCCUCUGACCAGCGCUGCACCUGCUUUCUGCCAUUGCCCAACUGCACCUUCAAGAAGAGAAACCAACACGCAACAACAAACAGUAGACAUAGAUAAAAAAAAUGUUAAAAAUCGACUAUAAAAGCCGAAACCAAAGGAAUGUAAGGGGGUCGGCCCCUCUUUGACGAUUAAAAGAAAUAAAAGUGUUUUGAAAAUCUUAAAGGUGACUACUACCCUUUUUAGAUCUGUUUUUUUGUUCUUUUAAAUAUCAUUUUUGUUUUUAAAUACAAACAAAUUAAAAAUAAGAAUAAAGGAGAAGGCUUUUUACCUUACCUGCGCCGCGCCGGAGGUGGAGGAAGGCGAACGGUUUCGCCCUUUUUUCGGGUCUUCGGCCCUUGUUUCACGAGAUCCGGCCCCAGAUCCGUGCCUAGGAGACACUCGGCUUCGAACUAGGAUAAAAAAGAUCCGAUUUUGAGCCGUUGGCCACCGCACACGGCGGUGCUACGCCGGAGGCCGAGCCGGACGUUAGGCCAGAUUUGAGAGAGGGGAGGGAGCCUUCUCUGUUUGUUUUAAAAAAAAAGAAAAGGAAAAAAAUGAAAAAAGAAAAAGAAAAAA